RNAcentral lists this ribosomal RNA (433 nucleotides) under uncultured bacterium. RNAcentral describes it as "partial 16S ribosomal RNA". It matches the Rfam family "Bacterial small subunit ribosomal RNA", at positions 29 to 507 of the family's 1533-position model. The record is from RNAcentral.
AACGAACGCUGGCGGCAGGCCUAACACAUGCAAGUCGAGCGAGGACUUCGGUCCUAGCGGCGGACGGGUGAGUAACGCGAGGGAACGUGCCCUUUGCUUCGGAAUAGCCCUGGGAAACUGGGAGUAAUACCGGAUGAGCCCUUUGGGGGAAAGAUUUAUCGGCGAAGGAUCGGCCCGCGUUGGAUUAGGUAGUUGGUGGGGUAAUGGCCUACCAAGCCGACGAUCCAUAGCUGGUUUGAGAGGAUGAUCAGCCACACUGGGACUGAGACACGGCCCAGACUACUGCGUGAGGCAGCAGUGGGGAUUCUUAGACGAUGGGGGAAACCCUGAUCUAGCCAUGCCGCGUGAGCGAUGAAGGCCUUAGGGUUGUAAAGCUCUUUCAGCUGGGAAGAUAAUGCCGGUACCAGCAGAAGAAGCCCCGGCUAACUCCGUG